RNAcentral lists this long non-coding RNA (900 nucleotides) under Gallus gallus (chicken). Lineage: Eukaryota; Metazoa; Chordata; Aves; Galliformes; Phasianidae. The record is from RNAcentral.
AUCACCCUGAGCCCCGAAGCGGCGGCGGCGGCGGCCGCCAUGCGGAAGUCGUGCCGGGUUCAACGCUGCUGCAGCGCCGCCGGGCAGCCCCGGGGCUCCGAGCGCCGCUUCAGCUUCUCCGAGUGGGUGUUCGGGGGUGGGGGGGUUGCGUGCUGCUCUGCGUUGGCCCCGUGGGGCCGCUGCGGUGCUCAGGGCCUCUGCUCGGCGGCGGGAGAUGCCCUGUGCCCCCCCACCCAGGAAGCCCCACGUCUACCCCUGGAGUCAUGCAGAAGGAUCUGGAUAUGUCCUGGAGGGAUUUGGGGGAGGCCAGGGAGCCCUGGACUCAUCCAGAAGAGUCUGGAGAUGUCCCAGAGGAGUCUUGGGGCAUUCAGGGAGUCCUCAUGUGGGUCUGGAGGGUUCUGGAUUCCUCAGACGGGUCUGGAGAUGCCCCGGAGGUGUUUUGGGGAGACCAGGGGGUCCUGGAGUCCUCCAGGAGUCUCAAGCCUGCCUCCAGCCGGACCUGGUAACACUGGAGCUCUCUGGCGCUGUCACCAUUAUGUGCCACAAGGAUGGGGACGUGGUGGUGUACUCUGCUGCCACCAGAGGGGACCGUGUGUGACAUCAGCGUGGAACAGCUGUCAUCGCUGCUGGGUGUUGCUUUUGUCAACAUGCAUGGGGUGUCACCCCUUCCAUGUCACACCCCAAAGUUGGAGGCACCCCUCUGCAGAUCCCCCGGUGUCCGUCCUUCUGACCGCAUUGUUCCCAUGCGGGGGUGGGUGGAGUUGAGGGGGGCACACACUUUAUUUUUGUAAAUAAGAUUUAUUUUGUGAUAAGGUGGACUGGGAGACGCCGCCCCCCCAGACCUCUGCAUGAAUAAAAGGCAGAGGAGCGGCUGUGGGGCUCUGCAUGUCACACCGGGGG